UACGUAGGUGGCAAGCGUUGUUCGGCAUUCUUGGGCGUAAAGGGCGCGUAGGCGGUUUGUUAAGUCGGUCGUGAAAGCCCGGGGCUCAACCCCGGAGGGUCGACCGAUACUGGCAGACUAGAGUACAGAAGAGGUAACUGGAAUUCCCGGUGUAGCGGUGAAAUGCGUAGAUAUUGGGAGGAACACCAGUGGCGAAGGCGGCUCACUGGACCGGAACUGACGCUGAUGCGCGAAAGCGUGGGGAGCAAACGGG
This 253-nucleotide ribosomal RNA is filed under the name uncultured bacterium. RNAcentral describes it as "partial 16S ribosomal RNA". It matches the Rfam family "Bacterial small subunit ribosomal RNA", at positions 524 to 776 of the family's 1533-position model. The record is from RNAcentral.